Molecule: ribosomal RNA, 829 nt
Filed under: Curtobacterium flaccumfaciens
Lineage: Bacteria; Bacillati; Actinomycetota; Actinomycetes; Micrococcales; Microbacteriaceae
Description: bacterial SSU rRNA
Rfam family: Bacterial small subunit ribosomal RNA
Source: RNAcentral
UUUUAGAGUUUGAUCCUGGCUCAGGACGAACGCCGGCGGCGUGCUUAACACAUGCAAGUCGAACGAUGAUGCCCAGCUUUCCUGGGUGGAUUAGUGGCGAACGGGUGAGUAACACGUGAGUAACCUGCCCCUGACUCUGGGAUAAGCGUUGGAAACGACGUCUAAUACUGGAUAUGAUCACUGGCCGCAUGGUCUGGUGGUGGAAAGAUUUUUUGGUUGGGGAUGGACUCGCGGCCUAUCAGCUUGUUGGUGAGGUAAUGGCUCACCAAGGCGACGACGGGUAGCCGGCCUGAGAGGGUGACCGGCCACACUGGGACUGAGACACGGCCCAGACUCCUACGGGAGGCAGCAGUGGGGAAUAUUGCACAAUGGGCGAAAGCCUGAUGCAGCAACGCCGCGUGAGGGAUGACGGCCUUCGGGUUGUAAACCUCUUUUAGUAGGGAAGAAGCGAAAGUGACGGUACCUGCAGAAAAAGCACCGGCUAACUACGUGCCAGCAGCCGCGGUAAUACGUAGGGUGCAAGCGUUGUCCGGAAUUAUUGGGCGUAAAGAGCUCGUAGGCGGUUUGUCGCGUCUGCUGUGAAAUCCCGAGGCUCAACCUCGGGCUUGCAGUGGGUACGGGCAGACUAGAGUGCGGUAGGGGAGAUUGGAAUUCCUGGUGUAGCGGUGGAAUGCGCAGAUAUCAGGAGGAACACCGAUGGCGAAGGCAGAUCUCUGGGCCGUAACUCACGCUGACGAGCGAAAGCAUGGGGAGCGAACCAGGAUUAGAUACCCCUGGUACGUCCCAUCCACGUAAACCGUUGGGCGCCUACGAGUGUAUGGGACCCUUU